AAUUGUUAGUCCAAGUACACAGUUAUCAUCCAUUGAUUUUCAUUUUUUACAAAAAGAUUUCCUAGUGUGGACCAUGUAUUACUUUAAAAUUUAUUUAUUUAUAUUUUUUAUGCAUAAAAAUUUAGGGCAAGAAAUAUAGAAGAUAAAGAAAAAUAUAAACAAUUACAACUGUACAGUAGAAAUGAUCGGCAAAACAAGAUAAACAGAAGACAACAAGGCCUAAAUGGUGCAGAGACUUCUUGGUUUUCAUGAUCAUCAACAGAUCAAUACAGAAGAGGAAACUUAAGGUUAAUACUUUCUCUACAUUGUGUGCUAAUUGGAUUAAUGUGAAAUGAAAUGUGUGCUUACCUGGAAAAAGAAAAUAGGAAAUUUCUACAAAAUGGCUGUAAACAAAAUGGAGUACAAUCAUAGAUGCACAAGAACACAAUUGUGUAAUUGCAACAACCUACACUGAAGGAUUAGGGAGAAAUGUAGAAAAAAUAGUAUUUUUUUGUCGAAAUAAACACCUGCUUUAUCCAUUCAUGUACAUAGCUCUGUCAUAUCAACUAUAUAGAGGAAGAUGUUUGAAGAACAAAUUGCAAAAAUGUAUUCUCUACCAAUUGAAGGAAGAUGUCUGGUGGAUGGAAUUAUUUAUGCACUGAACUGUUUUGUAGGGGAUUGAAUAAUUGUACGCAGCAGAAAAGUUAAAUUAACAUGAAAAGUGGUUAUUUUAUUUAAUCAGCAAAUAUGAGCACAAUAUUAAUAACAUCACAAAUAGUAUGAUAUUCAUAGCGUUUUGCUUAUAAUUGUAUUGUCUCAAACAGCUAGCCUAUUGUUUUUGUAUGUCAUGUUACUCAUCAGUGAACAUUUUAUUAAAGUUUUAAUUAUC
Long non-coding RNA from Mytilus californianus (California mussel), 868 nucleotides. RefSeq lists it as uncharacterized. Lineage: Eukaryota; Metazoa; Mollusca; Bivalvia; Mytilida; Mytilidae. The transcript has 3 exons. The record is from RefSeq and is a predicted model, not a curated record.